This is a long non-coding RNA of Loxodonta africana (African savanna elephant), 2675 nucleotides long. RefSeq lists it as uncharacterized. NCBI's taxonomy places the organism in Eukaryota, Metazoa, Chordata, Mammalia, Proboscidea, Elephantidae. The record is from RefSeq and is a predicted model, not a curated record. The transcript has 3 exons.
GGGAGAAAGAGACCAAAAAGUAAGUAUUACAAAGUAUUACAAGACUGCCCCCUUUGGUACACAAAAAUUAUAACUACUCCCAAUCUCUGCCACACCUCUAAAAUUCUGAAAGCUGAACAAAAAAUAUAUAUAGAAAAAACAAAAACUAUAAACCCAUCCCCCCAAAAGAUUUCCAAUAACUGAAAAAUAAAUAACUGGAAAUAGCUGCUUUUGGCCAAAUUCCUUGCUUCCUUAUAGGGCAGUAAAUGAUCAAAUGACAAAUGAUUCACAUGACAAAGGAUCAUGGGAAGUCCAAGGGAAGAGAGGGCCUUGACAGCUGUGGUUUCUCUAACUAAAGAAAAGAAAAUUUUAUGAUGGAAGCAGGACCUGGAGAAUAACAUUUAAACAGACAAGAGAGGGGAGUGGAAAAUAUUCUCCACGGAGGAAUGUACCCAAAGGCGGGGUAAAAGUCCCUACGUAGCACAAAUGGUUUGUGCUCGACUGCUAACCUAAAGGUUGGUGGUAUGAACCUACCCAGCGGUACUGUGGAAGAAAGGCCCGGAGAUCUGCUUCCAUUAAGAUGACAGCAAAGAAAACCCUAUGGAGAAGUUCUACUCAGUAACACAUGGGGUCGCCAUGACGGCAACUAACAACAACAGCAACAAAUAUCUGUUGUGUCUUUCAUUUAGAAAUUCAACUCUUUGGAGGUUUGGACUCCCUAACAAAACACUGCAGGUUCAGGACAGGUCUUCAUUAUCUGCCACUUGGACUCCUGUCUCCAGUUUCUGUUGCCACGUAACUGAAUCUAGCUUGAACUAUCUUUCUAAAUCACACAUUUAAUCAAGCUUCCUAUCUAAAACAUCUUUAACUGCAAAAAUGAUUAGUAACUAGUUUGGGAAGUAUCUACUAUUUCCAGUCCAGUUUCACGCAACUAAAACACCAUCAUGGCUAAACAAGAAGACAAGGAUCAACAGGUUAAAAUGGGAUGGAUUUCAAUUGUUAUAAAGAAGACCGUGAUACCUCUGCUAGAGACAGGAAUGAGCCACUGAGGAUGAUUGUGGUCAAUUUUUCUUUGCCAUUUUAAAAUAAGAUAUUCAUUAGAUCAGUAAUUUUAGAUAUGAUUCUAUCUAAAGGCAAAAGAAACUGGCUAAAAAGGUGAUCAGGAUCCCUUUCAACUCACAAAAUAUACAUGUGCUAUACACAAGGGAAACCCUGGUGGUGCAGUGGUUAAGUGCUACAGGUGCUAAACAAAAGGUCAGCAGUUUGAAUCCAUCAGGUGCUCCUUGGAAACACUAUGGGGUAGUUCUACUCUUUCCUAUAGGGUCUCUAUGAGUCACAAUUGACUCGACAGGAACAGGUUUGGUUUUUUUUCAUAUACAAGGGCGAGUCAAAAAGUAUUACAACUAGGGUUCCAGUUCACACAUGCACAGAUUUACUCCAAACAAAACAUGUUUAAACAAGUCUCUGUGAUCAGUGGGUGGCUGCAGAUAAGUUCUCUCAGUAAUACACUUGUCUUAGUCUUGUUAGGGUGCCUUAAGAAAAAAGAAUAUUUUUUUGUGCAAUGAAAAAAAAUGAUUUUGAGGUCAGGGCUAACAUCAAAUUUUUAACAAAACUCAAGUGGACAUCUUCCCAAAUCAUUGAAGCUUUGCAACAAGUUUAUGGGAAUGCUGCCUCACAGAAAACAACACUUUUCAGAUGGAUCAAGCAUUUUAAGGAAGGUUGGGAAGACCUCAAAGAUGAACCAAGAGAGGGAAGACCAUACAGAAGGUUAUGGGACUGUUUUUUGGGAUUCCAAAGGGGUAAACUUGAUAGAUUUUAUCGAAGGACACAGGAUAAUCAUGGGGGCUUAUUAUGAAGAAGUUUUAAGAAAAUUGAAAACUGCAUUGGUGACAAAAAGGCCAGGAAAGUUGUGCUGAGGAAUUUUUUUUCCAUCACGACAAUGCGCCUGCCCAUUUUUGAAGGGUAGCAGGGGUUGUCCUAUGAGAAUUUCAUAGGGAAAUCUUACCCCAUCUACCUACAGCCUGAUCUUGCCCCUUCAGACUUUUUAUUCUCAAAAUUCAAAGAACGUUUGAAACAAGCAUGAUUUGAGUCCCUUUGAAGAUGCCGAAACUGCCGUUUUGACGUGGUGUAAACUGAAGAGUGCAGAAUUCUUUGGGGAAGGAUUAGAGAGAUGGAAACACCACCCUGAGAAGUAUAUAGACCUAGAUGGAGGAUAUGUAGAGAAACACUAGCUUCACAUUUUGAUGUUUUUGUUUAAUAAACGUUUCUAUGAUUUUGUAGCAAUACUUUUUUACUUAUCUUCAUACAGGUGCUUACAGGAUAAAUGUAAAUUAUCUUUAGUAAGUAUUGCUCUCCAAUAAUCUAAUCUUCUACCCUACACAAACCUUCUACCUAAACCACAUCACUCACUCAACUUUUCCACCACGUGCCAUGUUCAUUACCACUUUCACACAGCUGUUCACGCCAAUCCCACCAGCCAAGGCCCUCCUCCUCUCUUCUGGCCAUCCCAGUGUUCCACAUACAGCCUUUAAGGUCUGAUGUUUUCCUAUCUUCCAGAAAACAUUUCCCAUCUGCUCCUAGAAUACUCUGAGCUUCUGUAGCAUGUGACCAUCCACAUCUGUGUUUCUCAAGUUCGAUAUUCUCAUAAGCCCUAAGCAUAUGAUCCCAGCUUGAGAAACUGCAAUUUAAGAAGCCAC